Long non-coding RNA from Arachis duranensis, 1440 nucleotides. RefSeq lists it as uncharacterized. NCBI's taxonomy places the organism in Eukaryota, Viridiplantae, Streptophyta, Magnoliopsida, Fabales, Fabaceae. The transcript has 8 exons. The record is from RefSeq and is a predicted model, not a curated record.
CGCCGAAAAGCAAAAGAAAACCCAAAUAUGUUAAAUUGAAUGUGUUCCCCAACAACAAAAACCCUAACACGCGUUGGCACCACCAUCAAAUCCAAAAAUGACGAUCUGUGCUCUGCUCCGGCAACGUUCUGCACCAGCGACUGCUCCGGCAACGAUCUGCUCCAGCGAAUGCUCCGGCGACGAUUUUCUCGGCGUUCUCCUCCGACGAGAUUGUGUGUUGUGAACUGAAACGCUGUCUCUAGUGACGAUCUGCUCAGGCGGCGCGUUCUCCUCCUUCAGCGAGCUUCUAUGAUUUGGAUUUGAUAUGAAGAUUGCCGCUCAUCUCAUCGCCGUCAUUCAUCUCUGCGCCAUCGCAAGCAACACCGUUUUCAAUCUGGUUCAUCUCCUCGACGUGGUAAGCAACGCCGUUGUUGCUGCCUUCAGCAAGCUUCUACAGUUUGGUUUCGCGAUCUCUAUCACUUCUAAUAGGAUUGGAGACUUUUGCCCCUCAGAAAUUCUAAAGAUUCUGGUCCCUAGGAUUGAAACCAUGACAGAGCAACAAAGGUGUGCCAGGUGUGGAGUACAUCACUUCUGAUAGGAUCUUUGAAGAUCUGCCUGACGAGGAGAAGAAGCUUUGGCACUCUUAUACUUAUGAGGUCAAGUUGGGUCUAUUAAUAAGCCCAAGAGUUCUAGAGAUAAUUGCCAUGCCUGAGCUUGAAAACCUUGCUAAAUCCUGUGGAAAAUUCUGGUGUACUUGGCAGGCCGACAGAGGUUAACAAUCUUUGUGUUAUUAUAUUGUAGGAGUUUAAUUAAGCUUAGUUUUGUGUGUUAUUAUUGGUGCAGGAGAUAGGAUUCCACUGGGUGCACCAGCACUAAUGAUAUCACCACAACCACAAGGGGUGAAGCCUAGGCUGGUGAGGCCAGAUCUGGUGCAUCAGAGGGAUGCAAAGUAUCAUGUUUCCUCAGACAGCUAUAAGACCUUAAUUUAGCAAGGUAGACAAGUGUUGAAGGAAAGGACUUUUAAGCAUCUACUAUAUAUAGGAUCGAUGGAGGGUAUUUAGAUCUAUCUAUGGCAUUAUUACAGGUUUAUUGGUUAUUGUGAUUCUAGAUCAUUAUCUUCCUAAGAGUCUCUAGCAGAGAUCAAUUUACAUUUGACAAAGGCACAGAAUACUGGAGAUACCCUUUAUUGUUAAAUAUGGACUAUGCAACAUUUAAUUAAUUAAUUUAUUUCAGGGAUUGGAUCAAGAGAGUGAGAUUCCAUCACCAAGAGAGUUAGGAAGUAGGUCUUCUGGAGCGAGCAACAAAGAAGCAUGAUCUUGUAUGAUAAAGAUUUUAUGUAUUAAGUAUUAUAGAUAUAUGUUAAGACAAAUUAUUGAAAAAUGUUAUCUUUGAUACUUUGUUUUUGGAUUAUGAUUUUUUAUUUUCGGAGAUUGUGUAUGAAUUAAAAAUUUUGUUAUGAUG